This 115-nucleotide ribosomal RNA is filed under the name Vibrio cholerae. Lineage: Bacteria; Pseudomonadati; Pseudomonadota; Gammaproteobacteria; Vibrionales; Vibrionaceae. The record is from RNAcentral.
CUUGGCGACCAUAGCGUUUUGGACCCACCUGAUUCCAUCCCGAACUCAGAAGUGAAACGAAACAGUCGUCGUGUCGUGUGGGGUCUCCCCAUGUGAGAGUAGAACAUCGCCAGGC